GCUCCUAUGGCUCAGUGGAGAGAGCGCCGCGCUACGAACGCGGAGAUCCCAGGUUCGAGUCCUGGUAGGAGCG
RNAcentral lists this transfer RNA (73 nucleotides) under Actinokineospora terrae. It matches the Rfam family "tRNA". From Rfam's summary of the family: Transfer RNA (tRNA) molecules are approximately 80 nucleotides in length. Their secondary structure includes four short double-helical elements and three loops (D, anti-codon, and T loops). Further hydrogen bonds mediate the characteristic L-shaped molecular structure. tRNAs have two regions of fundamental functional importance: the anti-codon, which is responsible for specific mRNA codon recognition, and the 3' end, to which the tRNAs corresponding amino acid is attached (by aminoacyl-tRNA synthetases). tRNAs cope with the degeneracy of the genetic code in two manners: having more than one tRNA (with a specific anti-codon) for a particular amino acid; and 'wobble' base-pairing, i.e. permitting non-standard base-pairing at the 3rd anti-codon position. The record is from Rfam by way of RNAcentral. Lineage: Bacteria; Bacillati; Actinomycetota; Actinomycetes; Pseudonocardiales; Pseudonocardiaceae. RNAcentral also lists the same sequence under 1 other name.